AAGAAUUAAGAGUUCGAUCCUAGCUCCGAAUGAAUGCUAGUAGUAUGCUUUAACACAUGCAAGUCUUAUAAGUUUUAUAAUUAAUAUUUUUGAUUAAAUAUUUUAUAAAAUUUAUGGCGUAAAGGUGAGUAAUUAUAGAUAUUAUUACCUAAAAAUUGUUGCAAAAAUUUAAUUUAAUCAAUAAUAUAUUGAAAGAAAUUUUAAUUUCGUUUUUAGCUAUAUAUCUAUAGAAGAUUAGGUAGUUGGUAAGGUAAAAGCUUACCAAGCCAAAGAUCUUUAAUUGGUUUGUGAGAAUGAUCAAUCACAUUGGGAUUGAAAUAAAGCCCAAACUCAUUAAGAGUCAGCAGUGGGGAAUAUUGGACAAUAAACGAAAGUUUGAUCCAGCAAUACUACAUAAGUGAUGAAGGCUUUAUCGUUGUAAAACUUAUAAAUUGAUGAAACAAUGAUUUAUCAAUGGAAUAGUUCUGGCAAACUCUGUGCCAGCAGCCGCGGUAAUACAGAGGGAACGAGCAUUAUUCGUCUUUACUGGGCGUAAAGUGUCUUAAGGUUAUUUUUUUUAAUUAAAAAUAAAAUAUUAAAGCUUAACUUUAAUAAUUUUUUAAUAUUAGAAAAUUUUGAGUAUAUUAAAGGAUUAUAGAAUUUCUAAAGUAGGUGUGACAACCGUUUAUAUUAGGAAGAAUGCCAGUUGGUGAAAACAAUAAUCUAUUAAAAUACUGACAUUGAUAGACGAAAGCAUGGGUAGCAAACAGGAUUAGGUACCCUGGUAGUCCAUGCUAUAAACGAUAAAUAUUAAAUAUUAUUAAAAGAAUAUAUAAGAAUAAUUUUUUUUUGUAUAUUUUUAUAUAAUAUAAAAAGUUAACACGUAAAAUAUUUCGCCUGGGGAGUAAAACCGCAAGGUUGAAACUCAAAGGAAUUGACGGGAGCUUAUACGUACGGUGGAGCAUGUGGUUUAAUCCGAUAGUCCGCGUGGAAUCUUACCAAUUUUUGACAGUUUAUAAUAUUUUUUAAUUAUAAAACAGGUGUUGCAUGGUCGUCGUCAGCUUUUAUUUUGAAAUUAAGAUAUAAGUUUAACCCUUGUAUUAAGUUGCUAUUAUUUAAAAUAAUUUAUAAAAAUAAUUUGUAAAUUAGUAAAUAAGUACUCUUAAUUAAAUUAUUUAAAUUUAACUAAAUAUAAAUUGAGAGAAAAUUUAUAGUUAAAUUUUUAUUUACAAAGGAUGAAGAUAGAUCGUUAUGACCCUUAUGAAUUGGGCUACACAUGUGCUACAAUAUUUUUUACAAAAAGAAGCAAUUAUGAAAAUAGGAGCAAAUCUUCAAAAGAAAAUGUAAUGCAGAUGAUUAUAGAUUGAAACUCAUCUAUAUGAAGUUGGAAUCGUAAGUAAUCGUAAAUUAGUAUGUUACGGUGAAUUGUUAAAUAAAGAUAAAUUUUUAUUUUUAUUUGUUUAUAAGCUCUGUACACACCGCCCGUCACAUUAGAGAAGUAAGUUUUUAUUAAAAUACUGUUUGUUUAUUAUAUAUAAAUUGUAAAUAUUUUUAUAAUUUUUUAUAUUUUAGGUAAAUUUUAUAAGGUGAAAAUUUAUGAUUUUAAUGAAGUCGUAACAAGGUAACCGUAUGGGAACAUGCGGUUGGAAU
Molecule: ribosomal RNA, 1629 nt
Filed under: Blastocystis sp. subtype 6
Lineage: Eukaryota; Bigyra; Opalinata; Blastocystidae
Description: SSU rRNA
Rfam family: Bacterial small subunit ribosomal RNA
Source: RNAcentral